This 395-nucleotide unclassified non-coding RNA is filed under the name soil metagenome. RNAcentral's name for it is "partial contains 5.8S ribosomal RNA, internal transcribed spacer 2, and large subunit ribosomal RNA". The stretch from base 1 to 120 matches the Rfam family "5.8S ribosomal RNA", at positions 35 to 154 of the family's 154-position model. The record is from RNAcentral.
GAUGAAGAACGUAGCGAAAUGCGAUAAGUAAUGUGAAUUGCAGAUUUCAGUGAAUCAUCGAAUCUUUGAACGCACCUUGCGCCUUUUGGUAUUCCGAAAGGCACACCUGUUUGAGCGUCAUGAAUACCUCAAUCUCCAUCUUUUCUUCGGAUUGAUGGGUGACUUGGAUGUUGAGCCCUGCUGGUAUGCUAUAUCAGCUGGCUUUAAACUUAUUAGCCGGCUCUGUACUGGAUCGGUUUGACUCGACGUGAUAAUAUUAUCGUUGAGGAUGCAUGUCUCAUGCAGCCGGAAAGUAUCAAAGCAGCUUCUAGCUUGCCUUUAGUGCACUUUUACAUUUUAGACCUCAGAUCAGGUGGGACUACCCGCUGAACUUAAGCAUAUCAAUAAGCGGAGGA